Molecule: ribosomal RNA, 253 nt
Filed under: uncultured bacterium
Lineage: Bacteria
Description: partial 16S ribosomal RNA
Rfam family: Bacterial small subunit ribosomal RNA
Source: RNAcentral
UACAGAGGUGGCGAGCGUUAUUCGGAAUUAUUGGGCGUAAAGGGCGCGUAGGCGGCUUGCCAAGUCCCGGGUGAAAUCCCUCGGCUCAACCGAGGAACUGCCUUGGAAACUGUCUGGCUUGAGGCCGGGAGAGGGUAGUGGAAUUCCCAGUGUAGCGGUGAAAUGCGUAGAUACUGGGAGGAACACCGGUGGCGAAGGCGGCUACCUGGACCGGUUCUGACGCUGAGGCGCGAAAGCGUGGGUAGCAAACAGG